Non-coding RNA from Mycena latifolia, 95 nucleotides. NCBI's taxonomy places the organism in Eukaryota, Fungi, Basidiomycota, Agaricomycetes, Agaricales, Mycenaceae. The record is from the annotation of a GenBank genome assembly.
GGCCCGGUGGCGGAUGGUCCGCACCUUCAUGCAAUCGACAAGUGUUGGCCACGUAUUUAUAGGAGGAUACGCUCGUUCGAUUCGAGCCCGGGCCA